This is a non-coding RNA of Salmo salar (Atlantic salmon), 3376 nucleotides long. NCBI's taxonomy places the organism in Eukaryota, Metazoa, Chordata, Actinopteri, Salmoniformes, Salmonidae. The record is from RefSeq and is a predicted model, not a curated record.
ACGAAUGCAAAUAAGUUAGAAAUUGUGCUACUAAUGCACACGACGGCACAAACACGUCUCGUAAAAACUACAUACGUUUUUGUUUGGUUAUCUUUUGGAAAUUGUAGAAAUAAAACAUUUUCCUUCAGAAGUUAGUUAGCUAAUUUAUUUGCUAGCUAUCAUACAGUAGGCGUAUAUUAAUAAUUAUAUAUUUAAUAUAAGUAGACAUGCACUCAUAAUUGACUGUAGCGCAUAUAAAGCACCCACAAGAUACAGGUGGCUGAAAAUACAAUCAUUGCGGGAUGAACAAGUGACGAAUUUCAGGCAAAGGGUGGUCCAUUUAAAAAUCAUUCCCUUCUCUCUCGCCCCUCGCCCUGCAAGUGUAUACUCGUCAGACGUCAUGAUGCGUCAUCAGAAGUGUCCACUUAAUUUGAGGGCUGAGGGGGUAGGGUGUGUCUUUUAAGUGUUUGGACUGCAGGCAUCGUGCUAUCUGUGCUAUAGCUAUCACACUUCACAUUGGAUUCCUUAACUGCAAAAAGUUGAGAUGACAUGGUGCCAUGGAGAAACAGCAGUGCCUUGAACUUGUACCAUCAGCAAAAACACCAGACAGGCCAAGGAAACGCCCCAGAACUGACAUAAAUCAAGAUCAUAUUGACGUUGGAGAGAAGAAUCUACUGCAGAUUGAGGUCCUGAAUUUACAAAAGAGAUGCUGCAAAUUCAGAAACAAAAACUCCUUCAGGGAAACAAAUGCCCAAUGCUGAUCUUUUUAUUUAUUUAAACAAUGAUUUAUUAAAACAAUCCUUUCCCAAGCAAUUUGCUGUCCUCUAGUCUUGUCCCCACUCUUGUGUUCUGGUGCUUCCAGUUCCACCCUGUAAGGUAGUGAGAAUAACAAGUCUUAAUAAUACAGAUAGACACGUACAAUUCCUAAUUAGACUAUGAAAAUAUAAUAUUGCUUUUUACAUGUUACCAAUGCUACAUUAUACACCUUAGGCUGCAAAAUGGUUCUCAAUCAAGGUUUUCCUCACAGCAUUCUAUUUGCAUUGUUGCACCUGGCCAUCUUCUCCAUUCUCCUCAGGUAGGUCCUCCUCAGUCUCCUGCCAAAGCUAUACAGAACAGCCACUGCAAUAAUGAUUGUCAUUGUAGUGUCCAUCUUCAUGCGGAGGCCCUCCUGUAGGCACGGGAAUCCAUUUUUCCACACUCCAAAAGCUUUCUGAGACCUCUUGCCAGGAUGUUAAAGGUGUUGUAUUCUCUCUCUCCAGGUGUCUGGGGGUUUAAAAGGGGAGUGCUAAGGUGCCCACGGUAGCCAUGUCCAUUGUCACGUAGUAGGUGGCCUUCAUAUGCCCCCCUUUCCAGCAUUGCACACAGAUGACUAUUGUCAAAGAUUCUGCUGUCAUUGGUGGAUCCUGGCCAUCUAGCUACGAUGUUGGAGAGCUGACCUUUGUCAUCACAGACAGCCUGCAUGUUGAUGGAGCAGUAACCUUUCAGAAUACGGAAUAGUUCUCCUUUCUCGCCACCAGGGUUGGGAAUAGGAAUGUACGUAAAGUCUAUUGCCCCUAGUACAUCUGGGAAUCUAGCUCUCUUGUAAAACCCAGCUGCUGUUUCCUCUGUAGAAUUUAACGUUACGUACUGAUUCUUCAGAACGGCAAGAGCACUGGACACUCUGAUUACAAUCCUGCAGACGGUUGACUUGUGGAGUCCAAAAAGGUCCCCAUCCACCAUCUGGAAACAUCCAGGUGUGUAGAACCAUAUGGCCACCAGGAGGUACAGCCGUGUUCCUAUCACUCCCAUGCUUAAUGGUUGGUUCAACCUUUCUUUCCAGUUGCAUUACCGCUUCUCCAAGGACUCUGUAUCUCCUUUAAAACGUAUCAUUAUCAUAAAAUUCAACAGGAUUCAACCGGUCUCUAAUUAUUCUCUGAGGAACUCUGUCGUUUGGGUCUCUCCACAGUAGAUAUGCUGCCAUUUUAUCAGUUCAACCACCUCAAGUGGCAGUUUAGAAUUCAUCUCCAAUCUAAAUGUAUUUUUUUAAAUCUUUUUUAUUGAGCAACAGGCUUAACAUUAAUCUGGGUUUAAAGUGAAAACUAAAUGUAGACUAGAGGAAGGAUUUAACUGAACUAGGAUUAAUUUAGAACCAGGUUUAAAAUUUGGUGCAACAAGAUUAAUAGACAAACCUUGAUUUAACCCAGUUUAAGAGUUAGUCCAUGUUGGUGCAACCCACCCUUAAUGUCAAGCUAAAUGUAAUAAAAAUAUAUAAUUUCAGAGGUUUAAAAAGGAACAGAAAAUAAUAUAUUUGAAUAAACAAAUACUGUUAAUACAAGUGGUUGUUUUGGUUGUUUAUUAAAAAAAUGAAUAUUAAGACAAUGAAAAUAUAAUUUUCAAAUAGCAAUACAUGUUGGAAUUUGAUCCAGCUCUGCAUAUAACUAACAAUAAUGUGUUGUUAGAGGUUGACUUCACAGCUCUUUAGUUUUAAUAAAGUGACUGAUUAAUAGGAGUUCUGUACUACUAGGUGAAACUAUAGGUGUCAAUAGGAGUUGUAUACUGCUAGGUGAAACUAUAGGUGAACGUGUGAAUGUUGUUGUGCCAUUGUGCUGUGUCUCCACAGGCUUAGGGCCACCAUCGCCACUACAACCGCCAUCAUGUCUGUUCCUACCCAGGCUGAGGCACUUAGUUUGAUUUCUUCAAGGAUUCCGACUCAACGCAACUGCACCAUUGAGACUGUGAAUAAUUGUAGUUCCCACAUUCUUCUCAACCCAAAGGUCUACAUGAUCAGUGGCUACAACUUAAGUCCCUUGGCGCCUACUGUGGGAUCCUCAGAGAGAGACAUCAGCACGUUCACCAAGACCUAUGGCAAAGCAAGGGGAGCUGUUGGUGUUUUCACCUAUGAGCUGUUCAAUCCCUCCAAGAAGCACACUGAGAUAAUGGCUGUCAUGUUCUCUGUGCCCUUUGACUAUAACUUGUACUCAAACUGGUUUGCAGUGGGAAUCUUCGACAACUGCAAAAUAUGUGAUAAAACUCUUUAUGAUGAGAUGUAUAAUAGUACGGAGAGAAAAUUUGUCAGGGGUGAAGCAGAUGGCUCCAGUAUCACUUAUAAAGGUAAUGAUGUGACCAUCAUGGCCUCCAUGUCAAACAGUGGUAGUGCAGUCAUGAAGGUGGAGGUGUGUGACAGUUGACAGCAUAGUCAUUACUAACCUUAAAACACUGAUGGUGUCCAACUUUAUGACUCAUAUGUGAAGAUCUGAAGUGUAAUUAGCAAUUUCAAUGUGAUGCUUCCAGAAUAACUUAAACUCCAAUCAAUAAAUGGCAAACUAAACUGAGAUUGGGUUUGGUUCUGAAUUUAUGAAAAGUCAAACGUUGUAAUGAACUAUUGAAAUGUAUGUUUUUAUUGCCACACCGAAGCUGA